GAUGAACGCUGGCGGCGUGCCUAAUACAUGCCAGUCGAGCGAACGGACGAGAAGCUUGCUUCUCUGAUGUUAGCGGCGGACGGGUGAGUAACACGUGGAUAACCUGCCUAUAAGACUGGGAUAACUUCGGGAAACCGGAGCUAAUACCGGAUGAUAUUUUGAACCGCAUGGUUCAAAAGUGAAAGACGGUCUUGCUGUCACUUAUAGAUGGAUCCGCGCUGCAUUAGCUAGUUGGUAAGGUAACGGCUUACCAAGGCAACGAUGCAUAGCCGACCUGAGAGGGUGAUCGGCCACACUGGAACUGAGACACGGUCCAGACUCCUACGGGAGGCAGCAGUAGGGAAUCUUCCGCAAUGGGCGAAAGCCUGACGGAGCAACGCCGCGUGAGUGAUGAAGGUCUUCGGAUCGUAAAACUCUGUUAUUAGGGAAGAACAUAUGUGUAAGUAACUGUGCACAUCUUGACGGUACCUAAUCAGAAAGCCACGGCUAACUACGUG
This 497-nucleotide ribosomal RNA is filed under the name uncultured bacterium. RNAcentral's name for it is "partial 16S ribosomal RNA". It matches the Rfam family "Bacterial small subunit ribosomal RNA", at positions 28 to 507 of the family's 1533-position model. The record is from RNAcentral.